CAGCUCAGAUUCAAAUAACUUAAUUAAAGUCGGCUAUUUUAUAGGCACCGGAAAUAUUUGUGAACUUGGACAGAAGCUCCUAACAAUCAAAAUAUAGUGUCUUGAUUUUGUUCAGCCUGAGAGUUCAAGUUUACGGCAAACGAAGGCGAGACAUUGUGUUCCGCGAAACCCUUACUAAUUUUAUUUCAUACAGUUAAAAAUCUAAAUUUUAUUUUUAUGCAUACAAUGUCCGACGCAUUAUAUCUACAGACAGUGACUGGUUCUAGAAAUUAUUUCAACUACAUGUUUGAUAUAAUUGAUUGCAAUAAAUGAAUGAUCUAUGUAUUUUUAUUUUCAUGUUAUAUAUUUUUUUUCACUUUGACGGAUAAAUUUUAUAAACGAUUAUAUAUGUAUGUAUAUAUCUAAAAAAUAUUGUAAGCUGUUUUCGUAUUCACUACAAGCAUAGCAGAAAUUAUUUGAUUCUUUUAUGUUAACAUGCACUGCAAAUUUUUGUAGUUCUGUACAUAUAUACUUAUCAACAGGACAUAUUAGGU
This 533-nucleotide long non-coding RNA is filed under the name Mytilus galloprovincialis (Mediterranean mussel). Lineage: Eukaryota; Metazoa; Mollusca; Bivalvia; Mytilida; Mytilidae. The record is from RNAcentral.